RNAcentral lists this long non-coding RNA (328 nucleotides) under Rattus norvegicus (Norway rat). Its description in RNAcentral is "long non-coding RNA NONRATT019902". Lineage: Eukaryota; Metazoa; Chordata; Mammalia; Rodentia; Muridae. The record is from RNAcentral.
CGGCCGCGAGCGGCUGGCACCGGUGCCUCUGGUGAAAUGAACGUCAGGACUCGAACCACUCAGGGGUACAGUGGAAUCCUCCAUGCCCACGCGGAAACACCAGGAUUCUAGGAUGCCCAAAUGGGCGUGUGAGCAGAGUUUGGGACUUGUGAAGCCUCACCAGUUUGGGGUUUUCAUUCAGAGAAACCUGUUGGAAGUGAUUGAGGAGUAGGCCUGAAUUGCAACUAGAGAGGCAACAAGUGACUCCUUAAAGAUGCCACAGGGCUGCAGAAGGGGACCUUGAAGAGGUUGAUGAAGUGAGAAGAAUGUUUCUCCCAACGACGAGAAG